GUUAGAUAGCCCCAGGUCCCAUCUGGGAUCCCUGAAGAUAGCGGGUCUAUUGGGUGUACAGAGCCCGAAAUACUAGCAUCUAAAAUCUGGGGCUCGAGGCUAUGUACAUCCCCGAAAUCAGUUCCACAACGUUGCUUGGUUUGAUCCGGUCAAUUCAAACUUCGGUCCCAAACCAAGCAACAGCCAAUCCGCUGAAAGACAUGAAACCAGUUUGCGCUAAUCAGCGCCCAGGUAGGGGAGAGGUUUUGCCGCCAAACCAGAAGUAAGGGCGUGAAACCUGAUUGCAC
Molecule: non-coding RNA, 287 nt
Organism: Pelobates cultripes (western spadefoot toad)
Lineage: Eukaryota; Metazoa; Chordata; Amphibia; Anura; Pelobatidae
Source: the annotation of a GenBank genome assembly